Doryrhamphus excisus (bluestripe pipefish) is the source of this 747-nucleotide non-coding RNA. NCBI's taxonomy places the organism in Eukaryota, Metazoa, Chordata, Actinopteri, Syngnathiformes, Syngnathidae. The record is from RefSeq and is a predicted model, not a curated record.
CUUUGUAGCCACAGGCUGGAACAAAUAUUGAUGGGAAAUUGAGAAAGAAAGGAGUAUUUAGAUUGGUAAAGUUAGCUUCAAAGCCUUGGCAGAUAGCUCUUGCAGUAAGACCAAAGUUAUUUGUAUCUUCUGUCGCUGUGUUUGACUCACGGAUUACUUCACGGAUUUAUUGCCAAGAGACUGGAGAAGUGCAGGAUCGCAGGAAACUGGCCACCUCUUCCAGUUCCAUCAGGCAGACACCAAGGUGUUCACAGGCCAGCUGAGAGACCUAAUCCAUCCAGGUUCACUUCAUUGCCACACUCCCAGCAGCAGAGAACAAAAAGAAGAAGCGCCUCAUUGAUGAAAGACAUGAAGGACGAGAGUUGAGGAAAAAAGGUGCGGAUACACAAAUAUAUAAGCCUUGCUCAGACCCAUUCCGCGACAAACCACCUUGCUGGCGUCUGAUGUCAGCUUGGACGUAGAAGAGGAUGUGGAGGUGGUGCUGUAGGCUCCGCCCACUUUGGAGGAUUUGGUAACGGUUUCAACCAGGACAGAUGAUGUCUCGUGGAGGCUGUGCCCACCUGAGAGUCGGGCGCCUGCAAGACAGAGAGAACAAGGUCACCAAAUCAAAUGUCAUUACGGGUCGGCGCAGAUGUUACGUAACCAUGAGACAGGCAAGGUGCAGCUGAUCCUGGAAAGUGUUUCCCUAAUUCCUUUUGCCAGGAACUAUUGAAACUUAAAACUAACUCUAAUUUCUAACCCCCUAAC